GAGCUCGCUUCGGCAGCACAUACACUAGAAUUGGAAAAAUACAGAGAAGAUUAGCAUGGCCCCUCCACUAGGAUGACAUGCAAAUUUGUAAAGUGUUACAUUAAAAA
This is a small nuclear RNA of Callithrix jacchus (white-tufted-ear marmoset), 107 nucleotides long. The record is from Ensembl. Lineage: Eukaryota; Metazoa; Chordata; Mammalia; Primates; Cebidae.